This 804-nucleotide long non-coding RNA is filed under the name Homo sapiens (human). Its description in RNAcentral is "HSALNT0356738". The record is from RNAcentral. Lineage: Eukaryota; Metazoa; Chordata; Mammalia; Primates; Hominidae.
CACAUGGCUAAGGAAAACAGAUGCAAUACAAAUAAACACACUCUUCUGCUGACUCAGAAUUUCUGGAGACGCUCUAUUUCAUCAAGUUUGUCUCAUUUACAAAAUGUUGCCCUGGGAAACCUAAAGGAAUUAAGAAAUACUAGCAAGAAUCACCAAAUAUUCCAGAGACAGAAGAUAAGAAUGCUGCUAGUGUCCCCAAGUACAAAAGAAAUCUAAGAUCAAUUUCAGAAAUCGAGAUGUUAAUGGAAAUUAAACAAAACAAAAAUAAAUCAAGAUGAUUAUAAACUAAAGAAAAAUUUAAAACUUGCCCAAAGUUUGGAAACCUGAAAUGUGAGACUUUAACCCUAAUAUCAAGUUGGACAUUUUGGAAAAGAAGCUUCUCAAGACAUUUCUCAAGCAAAAAAUUACUUUUAAUGUUGAUCCUUUAAUUAACAAAAGCAGCUAAGAUUCAAUCAGAAGGGAAUUUGGAUCCAUUGACUACUUCCAGUCUGACACGUAAGCACUCAUCCCAAAGAAUCUUCAGCUCCAGGAUCUGGUGGAUACUUGGUUUACAAGUUUAUGUAAUUACUUUUCCAUUUCUUAAAAAUUAAAAAUAAAAAGAUGUGAAGUUUCUAAUUCAACUUGUUGAUAAUAGAGCAUACUAUACAGAACCUAAUUAAAGUGAACUCUGAUUUUUACACAAAUCUUGGUUUACAUCCCAAUAACUUAAAAAGAAAUGGCUUUAUUAUAUUUAUUUUGUAAUUUCUUCCUGGCAAAAUUAGUUUACAAAUUACAUGAAAAUGUAACUGUAACACUUUGUUUUUC